GAUGAACGCUAGCUACAGGCUUAACACAUGCAAGUCGAGGGGCAGCGAGAGGAAAGCUUGCUUUCCUUGUCGGCGACCGGCGCACGGGUGAGUAACGCGUAUCCAACCUUCCCUAUAGUAGAGAAUAGCCCGGCGAAAGUCGAAUUAAUGCUCUAUGUUCUUCUUUGAUGGCAUCUGACGAGAAGCAAAGGUUUACCGCUAUAGGAUGGGGAUGCGUCUGAUUAGGUUGUAGGCGGGGUAACGGCCCACCUAGCCGACGAUCAGUAGGGGUUCUGAGAGGAAGGUCCCCCACAUUGGUACUGAGACACGGACCAAACUCC
This 320-nucleotide ribosomal RNA is filed under the name uncultured Prevotella sp. RNAcentral describes it as "bacterial SSU rRNA". It matches the Rfam family "Bacterial small subunit ribosomal RNA", at positions 28 to 339 of the family's 1533-position model. Lineage: Bacteria; Pseudomonadati; Bacteroidota; Bacteroidia; Bacteroidales; Prevotellaceae. The record is from RNAcentral.